UGGGUGAGUAACGCGUUGGUAACCUGCCCUUAAGUCUGGGAUACCAUUUGGAAACAGAUGCUAAUACCGGAUAAAAGCUACUUUCGCAUGAAAGAAGUUUAAAAGGCGGCGUAAGCUGUCGCUAAAGGAUGGACCUGCGAUGCAUUAGCUAGUUGGUAAGGUAACGGCUUACCAAGGCGAUGAUGCAUAGCCGAGUUGAGAGACUGAUCGGCCACAUUGGGACUGAGACACGGCCCAAACUCCUACGGGAGGCAGCAGGU
RNAcentral lists this ribosomal RNA (260 nucleotides) under uncultured Lactobacillus sp. RNAcentral's name for it is "partial 16S ribosomal RNA". It matches the Rfam family "Bacterial small subunit ribosomal RNA", at positions 103 to 354 of the family's 1533-position model. Lineage: Bacteria; Bacillati; Bacillota; Bacilli; Lactobacillales; Lactobacillaceae. The record is from RNAcentral.